RNAcentral lists this ribosomal RNA (482 nucleotides) under uncultured bacterium. Its description in RNAcentral is "partial 16S ribosomal RNA". It matches the Rfam family "Bacterial small subunit ribosomal RNA", at positions 30 to 507 of the family's 1533-position model. The record is from RNAcentral.
AUUGAACGCUGGCGGCAUGCCUUACACAUGCAAAUCGAACGGUAACGGGCCUUCGGGUGCCGACGAGUGGCGAACGGGUGAGUAGUACAUCGGAACGUGCCCGAUCGUGGGGGAUAACGAGGCGAAAGCUUUGCUAAUACCGCAUACGAUCUACGGAUGAAAGCAGGGGACCGCAAGGCCUUGCGCGGACGGAGCGGCCGAUGGCAGAUUAGGUAGUUGGUGGGAUAAAAGCUUACCAAGCCGACGAUCUGUAGCUGGUCUGAGAGGAUGAUCAGCCACACUGGGACUGAGACACGGCCCAGACUCCUACGGGAGGCAGCAGUGGGGAAUUUUGGACAAUGGGCGCAAGCCUGAUCCAGCCAUGCCGCGUGCAGGAUGAAGGCCUUCGGGUUGUAAACUGAUUUUGUACGGAACGAAAAGCCUUCUUUUAAUACAGGAGGGUCAUGACGGUACCGUAAGAAUAAGCACCGGCUAACUACGUG